RNAcentral lists this ribosomal RNA (487 nucleotides) under uncultured bacterium. RNAcentral's name for it is "bacterial SSU rRNA". It matches the Rfam family "Bacterial small subunit ribosomal RNA", at positions 30 to 515 of the family's 1533-position model. The record is from RNAcentral.
AUUGAACGCUGGCGGCAUGCCUUACACAUGCAAGUCGAACGGCAGCACGGGAGCAAUCCUGGUGGCGAGUGGCGAACGGGUGAGUAAUGUAUCGGAACGUACCUUUCAGUGGGGGAUAACGUAGCGAAAGUUACGCUAAUACCGCAUAUUCUGUGAGCAGGAAAGCAGGGGAUCGCAAGACCUUGCGCUGAUUGAGCGGCCGAUAUCAGAUUAGCUAGUUGGUGAGGUAAAGGCUCACCAAGGCGACGAUCUGUAGCGGGUCUGAGAGGAUGAUCCGCCACACUGGAACUGAGACACGGUCCAGACUCCUACGGGAGGCAGCAGUGGGGAAUUUUGGACAAUGGGCGCAAGCCUGAUCCAGCCAUGCCGCGUGAGUGAAGAAGGCCUUCGGUUGUAAGCUCUUUGUUUGGUAAGAAUCCUAACGGAUAAUACCUUGGGGAGUGACGGUACCAAAAGAAUAAGCACCGGCUAACUACGUGCCAGCACG